AUCCAGCUGAUGAGUCAUAAAUAGGUCGAAACGUGAGUCCUGGAU
Molecule: non-coding RNA, 45 nt
Organism: Schistosoma mattheei
Lineage: Eukaryota; Metazoa; Platyhelminthes; Trematoda; Strigeidida; Schistosomatidae
Source: Rfam